This 500-nucleotide ribosomal RNA is filed under the name uncultured bacterium. RNAcentral's name for it is "partial 16S ribosomal RNA". It matches the Rfam family "Bacterial small subunit ribosomal RNA", at positions 30 to 523 of the family's 1533-position model. The record is from RNAcentral.
AUUGAACGCUGGCGGAAUGCUUUACACAUGCAAGUCGAACGGCAGCACGGACUUCGGUCUGGUGGCGAGUGGCGAACGGGUGAGUAAUGUAUCGGAACGUGCCCAGUCGUGGGGGAUAACGUAGUGAAAAUUACGCUAAUACCGCAUACGAUCUAUGGAUGAAAGCGGGGGAUCGCAAGACCACGCGCGAUUGGAGCGGCCGAUAUCCGAUUAGGUAGGUGGUGGGGUAAAGGCCCACCAAGCCAACGAACUGUAGCUGGUCUGAGAGGACGACCAGCCACACCGGAACUGAGACACGGUCCAGACUCCUACGGGAGGCAGCAGUGGGGAAUUUUGGACAAUGGGCGAAAGCCUGAUCCAGCCAUUCCGCGUGCAGGAUGAAGGCCCUCGGGUUGUAAACUGCUUUUGUACAGAACGAAAAGGUUUCUACUAAUACUAGGAGCUCAUGACGGUACUGUAAGAAUAAGCACCGGCUAACUACGUGCCAGCAGCCGCCGUAA